Molecule: ribosomal RNA, 519 nt
Filed under: uncultured bacterium
Lineage: Bacteria
Description: bacterial SSU rRNA
Rfam family: Bacterial small subunit ribosomal RNA
Source: RNAcentral
AUGGGGGAAACCCUGACGCAGCAACGCCGCGUGGGUGAAGAAGGCCUUCGGGUCGUAAAGCCCUUUCGGACGGGACGAACGCUCCGCGGUGACAACCCGCGGAGUCUGACGGUACCGUAAGAAGAAGCACCGGCUAACUCCGUGCCAGCAGCCGCGGUAAUACGGAGGGUGCAAGCGUUGUUCGGAAUUACUGGGCGUAAAGCGCGUGUAGGCGGCCUUGCAAGCCAGACGUGAAAGCCCUCGGCUUAACCGGGGAAGUGCGUCUGGAACUGCUCGGCUCGAGUACGGGAGAGGGAGGCGGAAUUCCCAGUGUAGAGGUGAAAUUCGUAGAUAUUGGGAGGAACACCGGUGGCGAAAGCGGCCUCCUGGACCGAUACUGACGCUGAGACGCGAAAGCGUGGGGAGCAAACAGGAUUAGAUACCCUGGUAGUCCACGCGGUAAACGAUGGGCACUAGGUGUGGGGGGUAUCCACUCCUCCCGUGCCGCAGCUAACGCACUAAGUGCCCCGCCUGGGGAGU